This 502-nucleotide ribosomal RNA is filed under the name uncultured bacterium. RNAcentral describes it as "partial 16S ribosomal RNA". It matches the Rfam family "Bacterial small subunit ribosomal RNA", at positions 30 to 523 of the family's 1533-position model. The record is from RNAcentral.
AUUGAACGCUGGCGGCAGGCUUAACACAUGCAAGUCGAGCGGGGUGAUGGUGCUUGCACUAUCACUUAGCGGCGGACGGGUGAGUAAUGCUUAGGAAUCUGCCUAUUAGUGGGGGACAACAUCUCGAAAGGGAUGCUAAUACCGCAUACGUCAUACGGGAGGAAGUAGGGGAUCACUUGUGACCUUGCGCUAAUAGAUGAGCCUAAGUCGGAUUAGCUAGUUGGUGGGGCAAAGGCCUACCAAGGCGACGAUCUGUAGCGGGUCUGAGAGGAUGAUCCGCCACACUGGGACUGAGACACGGCCCAGACUCCUACGGGAGGCAGCAGUGGGGAAUAUUGGACAAUGGGGGAAACCCUGAUCCAGCAAUGCCGCGUGUGUGAAGAAGGCCUUCGGGUUGUAAAGCACUUUCGGCGGGGAAGAAAAAAUCAAGACUAAUAAGCUUGAGAAUUGACGUUACCCGCAGAAGAAGCACUGGCUAACUCUGUGCCAGCCGCCGCGGUAA